AUUGAACGCUGGCGGCAGGCUUAACACAUGCCAGUCGAGCGAGCGGCGGACGGGUGAGUCAUGUCUGGGAAACUGCCUGAUGGAGGGGGAUAACUCCUGGAAACGGUAGCUAAUACCGCAUACCAUCAGAUGUGCCCAGAUGGGAUUAGCUAGUAGGUGGGGUAAUGGAUCCACUAGGCCACGACCCCUAGCUGGUCUGAGAGGAUGACCAGCCACACUGGAACUGAGACACGGUCCAGACGCCUACGGGAGGCAGCAGUGGGGAAUAUUGCACAAUGGGCGCAAGCCUGAUGCAGCCAUGCCGCGGGUGUGAAGAAGGCCUUCGGGUUGUAAAGCACUUUCAGCGAGGAGGCGUUACUCGCAGAAGAAGCACCGGCUAACUCCGUGCCAGCAGCCGCGGUAAUAC
Molecule: ribosomal RNA, 406 nt
Filed under: uncultured bacterium
Lineage: Bacteria
Description: partial 16S ribosomal RNA
Rfam family: Bacterial small subunit ribosomal RNA
Source: RNAcentral